CCAUGCAGUCGAGCGGUAGCACAGAGAGCUUGCUCUCGGGUGACGAGCGGCGGACGGGUGAGUAAUGUCUGGGAAACUGCCUGAUGGAGGGGGAUAACUACUGGAAACGGUAGCUAAUACCGCAUAACGUCGCAAGACCAAAGUGGGGGACCUUCGGGCCUCAUGCCAUCAGAUGUGCCCAGAUGGGAUUAGCUAGUAGGUGGGGUAACGGCUCACCUAGGCGACGAUCCCUAGCUGGUCUGAGAGGAUGACCAGCCACACUGGAACUGAGACACGGUCCAGACUCCUACGGGAGGCAGCAGUGGGGAAUAUUGCACAAUGGGCGCAAGCCUGAUGCAGCCAUGCCGCGUGUGUGAAGAAGGCCUUCGGGUUGUAAAGCACUUUCAGCGGGGAGGAAGGCGAUAAGGUUAAUAACCUUGUCGAUUGACGUUACCCGCAGAAGAAGCACCGGCUAACUCCGUGCCAGCAGCCGCGGUAAUACGGAGGGUGCAAGCGUUAAUCGGAAUUACUGGGCGUAAAGCGCACGCAGGCGGUCUGUCAAGUCGGAUGUGAAAUCCCCGGGCUCAACCUGGGAACUGCAUUCGAAACUGGCAGGCUAGAGUCUUGUAGAGGGGGGUAGAAUUCCAGGUGUAGCGGUGAAAUGCGUAGAGAUCUGGAGGAAUACCGGUGGCGAAGGCGGCCCCCUGGACAAAGACUGACGCUCAGGUGCGAAAGCGUGGGGAGCAAACAGGAUUAGAUACCCUGGUAGUCCACGCCGUAAACGAUGUCGAUUUGGAGGUUGUGCCCUUGAGGCGUGGCUUCCGGAGCUAACGCGUUAAAUCGACCGCCUGGGGAGUACGGCCGCAAGGUUAAAACUCAAAUGAAUUGACGGGGGCCCGCACAAGCGGUGGAGCAUGUGGUUUAAUUCGAUGCAACGCGAAGAACCUUACCUGGUCUUGACAUCCACAGAACUUUCCAGAGAUGGAUUGGUGCCUUCGGGAACUGUGAGACAGGUGCUGCAUGGCUGUCGUCAGCUCGUGUUGUGAAAUGUUGGGUUAAGUCCCGCAACGAGCGCAACCCUUAUCCUUUGUUGCCAGCGGUCCGGCCGGGAACUCAAAGGAGACUGCCAGUGAUAAACUGGAGGAAGGUGGGGAUGACGUCAAGUCAUCAUGGCCCUUACGACCAGGGCUACACACGUGCUACAAUGGCAUAUACAAAGAGAAGCGACCUCGCGAGAGCAAGCGGACCUCAUAAAGUAUGUCGUAGUCCGGAUUGGAGUCUGCAACUCGACUCCAUGAAGUCGGAAUCGCUAGUAAUCGUAGAUCAGAAUGCUACGGUGAAUACGUUCCCGGGCCUUGUACACACCGCCCGUCACACCAUGGGAGUGGGUUGCAAAAGAAGUAGGUAGCUUAACCUUCGGGAGGGCGCUA
Molecule: ribosomal RNA, 1409 nt
Filed under: Klebsiella pneumoniae
Lineage: Bacteria; Pseudomonadati; Pseudomonadota; Gammaproteobacteria; Enterobacterales; Enterobacteriaceae
Description: bacterial SSU rRNA
Rfam family: Bacterial small subunit ribosomal RNA
Source: RNAcentral